UCCGGCUUAUCACCGGCAGUCCCACUAGAGUGCCCAACUGAAUGAUGGCAACUAAUGGCGAGGGUUGCGCUCGUUGCGGGACUUAACCCAACAUCUCACGACACGAGCUGACGACAGCCAUGCAGCACCUGUGCAUGGAUCCCGAAGGAGGCUUCUGGUUUCUCAGAAGUUUCCCAUGCAUGUCAAGCCUAGGUAAGGUUCUUCGCGUUGCGUCGAAUUAAACCACAUGCUCCACCGCUUGUGCGGGCCCCCGUCAAUUCCUUUGAGUUUCAGCCUUGCGGCCGUACUCCCCAGGCGGGGUACUUCCUGCGUUAGCGCCGGCACUGACAAGCAUGCUUGCCAACGGCUGGCAUCCAUCGUUUACGGCGUGGACUAC
Molecule: unclassified non-coding RNA, 376 nt
Filed under: uncultured bacterium
Lineage: Bacteria
Description: contains 16S-23S intergenic spacer region
Source: RNAcentral